Solanum dulcamara is the source of this 217-nucleotide small nucleolar RNA. RefSeq annotates it as small nucleolar RNA U3. The transcript has a single exon. Lineage: Eukaryota; Viridiplantae; Streptophyta; Magnoliopsida; Solanales; Solanaceae. The record is from RefSeq and is a predicted model, not a curated record.
ACGACCUUUCUUGAAAAUGAUCUUUUCUAUAGGCUUGUACCACUAUAUCCUUGAUUUCUAAGGAGACAGGAAACUAAGUCUGGUGGGUGAAUUGUUGACAUUAGCUGAGCGCAUUAUUAAUAACACCCAUGGCUAUUGUGGGUCAUCGCCCCAAUAGAUGAUCGUUCUCAACUCCAAUUAUGCUGCUUGGGAUGGUCUAAUGGCUGUCUGAUAGACU